RNAcentral lists this long non-coding RNA (694 nucleotides) under Rhinopithecus roxellana (golden snub-nosed monkey). RNAcentral describes it as "lncRNA (ENSRROG00000046084.1)". The record is from RNAcentral. Lineage: Eukaryota; Metazoa; Chordata; Mammalia; Primates; Cercopithecidae.
GGAAAAAGUUGCUUCAGUAGAAUCCCAGGGUCAAGAAAUUUCAGGAAACCGAAGACAACAGUUGCUGCUGAUGCUAGAAGGACUAGUAGAUGAACGGAGUCGGCUCAGUGAGGCCUUACAAGCAGAGAGACAGCUCUAUAGCAGUCUGGUGAAGUUUCAUGCCCAUCCAGAGAGCUCUGAGAGAGACCGAACUCUGCAGGUGGAACUGGAAGGUGCUCAGGUGUUACGCAGUCGGCUAGAAGAAGUUCUUGGAAGAAGCUUGGAGCGCUUAAACAGGCUGGAGACCCUGGCCGCCAUUGGAGGUGAGGAACUGGAAAGUGUGCGAAUUCAUCACAAGCAUGCCUACUGAGCACUGGCGGGUCAGACUGCAGCCCAGGAUGGAAAACCUUGUUUGCACUAACCAGAAAGAUCCUUAUCUGAUUUUGGCAGAAUUAAACGGUGACUUACUAAUGAUAGAACUGGUACAAGUAGCAUCAACUACAAAGUGAAACUCACUUUAGCCUACAUGGAUCUCACUGUACAUACAUAUCAAUCCCCAAAUUGAAUGGUGGAGGUUGCAAAGUGUAUUUGCACAUUUUAAAUCAUUCUGCUUUAGUUUUUCCACUUUUAUUCAUUCUUAUCCCUAGCCCCUUCUCAUUCCCUCAUCCCUUCUGUGGGCCAAUAAAGUUUAUUCUUCCCCCACUUUCACAAUCCA